UACAGAGGGUGCGAGCGUUGUCCGGAAUCACUGGGCGGAAAGGGCGCGUAGGUGGUGGCUUAAGCGUGCGGUGAAAGCUCGGGGCUCAACCCCGAGUCGGCCGUGCGAACUGGGCUCACUGGAGCAUAGUAGAGGCAGGUGGAAUUCCGGGUGUAGCGGUGGAAUGCGGAGAGAUCCGGAGGAACACCGGUGGCGAAGGCGGCCUGCUGGGCUAUGGCUGACACUGAGGCGCGACAGCGUGGGGAGCAAACAGG
This 254-nucleotide ribosomal RNA is filed under the name uncultured bacterium. RNAcentral describes it as "partial 16S ribosomal RNA". It matches the Rfam family "Bacterial small subunit ribosomal RNA", at positions 524 to 776 of the family's 1533-position model. The record is from RNAcentral.